This 2923-nucleotide ribosomal RNA is filed under the name Klebsiella pneumoniae. RNAcentral describes it as "bacterial LSU rRNA". It matches the Rfam family "Bacterial large subunit ribosomal RNA". The record is from RNAcentral. Lineage: Bacteria; Pseudomonadati; Pseudomonadota; Gammaproteobacteria; Enterobacterales; Enterobacteriaceae.
GGGUUGUGAGGUUAAGCGACUAAGCGUACACGGUGGAUGCCCUGGCAGUCAGAGGCGAUGAAGGACGUGCUAAUCUGCGAAAAGCGUCGGUAAGGUGAUAUGAACCGUUAUAACCGGCGAUGUCCGAAUGGGGAAACCCAGUGUGAUUCGUCACACUAUCGUUAACUGAAUACAUAGGUUAACGAGGCGAACCGGGGGAACUGAAACAUCUAAGUACCCCGAGGAAAAGAAAUCAACCGAGAUUCCCCCAGUAGCGGCGAGCGAACGGGGAGCAGCCCAGAGUCUGAAUCAGCUUGUGUGUUAGUGGAACGGUCUGGAAAGUCCGACGGUACAGGGUGAUAGUCCCGUACACCAAAAUGCACAGGCUGUGAACUCGAAGAGUAGGGCGGGACACGUGGUAUCCUGUCUGAAUAUGGGGGGACCAUCCUCCAAGGCUAAAUACUCCUGACUGACCGAUAGUGAACCAGUACCGUGAGGGAAAGGCGAAAAGAACCCCGGCGAGGGGAGUGAAAAAGAACCUGAAACCGUGUACGUACAAGCAGUGGGAGCACCUUCGGGUGUGACUGCGUACCUUUUGUAUAAUGGGUCAGCGACUUAUAUUCUGUAGCAAGGUUAACCGUAUAGGGGAGCCGCAGGGAAACCGAGUCUUAACUGGGCGUUAAGUUGCAGGGUAUAGACCCGAAACCCGGUGAUCUAGCCAUGGGCAGGUUGAAGGUUGGGUAACACUAACUGGAGGACCGAACCGACUAAUGUUGAAAAAUUAGCGGAUGACUUGUGGCUGGGGGUGAAAGGCCAAUCAAACCGGGAGAUAGCUGGUUCUCCCCGAAAGCUAUUUAGGUAGCGCCUCGUGAAUUCAUCUUCGGGGGUAGAGCACUGUUUCGGCUAGGGGGUCAUCCCGACUUACCAACCCGAUGCAAACUACGAAUACCGAAGAAUGUUAUCACGGGAGACACACGGCGGGUGCUAACGUCCGUCGUGAAGAGGGAAACAACCCAGACCGCCAGCUAAGGUCCCAAAGUCAUGGUUAAGUGGGAAACGAUGUGGGAAGGCACAGACAGCCAGGAUGUUGGCUUAGAAGCAGCCAUCAUUUAAAGAAAGCGUAAUAGCUCACUGGUCGAGUCGGCCUGCGCGGAAGAUGUAACGGGGCUAAACCAUGCACCGAAGCUGCGGCAGCGACACUAUGUGUUGUUGGGUAGGGGAGCGUUCUGUAAGCCUGCGAAGGUGUGCUGUGAGGCAUGCUGGAGGUAUCAGAAGUGCGAAUGCUGACAUAAGUAACGAUAAAGCGGGUGAAAAGCCCGCUCGCCGGAAGACCAAGGGUUCCUGUCCAACGUUAAUCGGGGCAGGGUGAGUCGACCCCUAAGGCGAGGCCGAAAGGCGUAGUCGAUGGGAAACAGGUUAAUAUUCCUGUACUUGGUGUUACUGCGAAGGGGGGACGGAGAAGGCUAUGUUAGCCGGGCGACGGUUGUCCCGGUUUAAGCAUGUAGGCUGGUUGUCCAGGCAAAUCCGGAUAAUCAAGGCUGAGGUGUGAUGACGAGGCACUACGGUGCUGAAGUAACAAAUGCCCUGCUUCCAGGAAAAGCCUCUAAGCAUCAGGUAACAUCAAAUCGUACCCCAAACCGACACAGGUGGUCAGGUAGAGAAUACCAAGGCGCUUGAGAGAACUCGGGUGAAGGAACUAGGCAAAAUGGUGCCGUAACUUCGGGAGAAGGCACGCUGGUGUGUAGGUGAAGUCCCUGCGGAUGGAGCUGAGACCAGUCGAAGAUACCAGCUGGCUGCAACUGUUUAUUAAAAACACAGCACUGUGCAAACACGAAAGUGGACGUAUACGGUGUGACGCCUGCCCGGUGCCGGAAGGUUAAUUGAUGGGGUUAUCCGUAAGGAGAAGCUCUUGAUCGAAGCCCCGGUAAACGGCGGCCGUAACUAUAACGGUCCUAAGGUAGCGAAAUUCCUUGUCGGGUAAGUUCCGACCUGCACGAAUGGCGUAAUGAUGGCCAGGCUGUCUCCACCCGAGACUCAGUGAAAUUGAACUCGCUGUGAAGAUGCAGUGUACCCGCGGCAAGACGGAAAGACCCCGUGAACCUUUACUAUAGCUUGACACUGAACAUUGAGCCUUGAUGUGUAGGAUAGGUGGGAGGCUUUGAAGCGUGGACGCCAGUCUGCGUGGAGCCAACCUUGAAAUACCACCCUUUAAUGUUUGAUGUUCUAACGUUGGCCCCUUACCGGGGUUGCGGACAGUGUCUGGUGGGUAGUUUGACUGGGGCGGUCUCCUCCCAAAGCGUAACGGAGGAGCACGAAGGUUAGCUAAUCCUGGUCGGACAUCAGGAGGUUAGUGCAAUGGCAUAAGCUAGCUUGACUGCGAGCGUGACGGCGCGAGCAGGUGCGAAAGCAGGUCAUAGUGAUCCGGUGGUUCUGAAUGGAAGGGCCAUCGCUCAACGGAUAAAAGGUACUCCGGGGAUAACAGGCUGAUACCGCCCAAGAGUUCAUAUCGACGGCGGUGUUUGGCACCUCGAUGUCGGCUCAUCACAUCCUGGGGCUGAAGUAGGUCCCAAGGGUAUGGCUGUUCGCCAUUUAAAGUGGUACGCGAGCUGGGUUUAGAACGUCGUGAGACAGUUCGGUCCCUAUCUGCCGUGGGCGCUGGAGAAUUGAGGGGGGCUGCUCCUAGUACGAGAGGACCGGAGUGGACGCAUCACUGGUGUUCGGGUUGUCAUGCCAAUGGCACUGCCCGGUAGCUAAAUGCGGAAGAGAUAAGUGCUGAAAGCAUCUAAGCACGAAACUUGCCCCGAGAUGAGUUCUCCCUGAGACUUUAAGUCUCCUGAAGGAACGUUAAAGACGAUGACGUUGAUAGGCCGGGUGUGUAAGCGCAGCGAUGCGUUGAGCUAACCGGUACUAAUGAACCGUGAGGCUUAACCUUACAACGCCGAAG